ACUCUUCAACCCUCCAAUUUCUUGUGAAUUGAUAGGUGUUUGGAUUUUGAGUGUUGCUGGUCUUUUAGAUCGAGCUCAUUCGUAAUAUAUUAGCAUCUCUAAUUCGAACUCGGAUUGACUCAGUGUAAUAGACUAUUCGCUGAGGACACGCUCUUGUAGUGUGGCCGAAUGAGAUCUCAGUAGAAGCUUCCAACUACUUUAGUCAACUUUAG
RNAcentral lists this unclassified non-coding RNA (212 nucleotides) under uncultured Leucosporidium. RNAcentral describes it as "partial internal transcribed spacer 2". Lineage: Eukaryota; Fungi; Basidiomycota; Microbotryomycetes; Leucosporidiales. The record is from RNAcentral.